This 497-nucleotide ribosomal RNA is filed under the name uncultured bacterium. RNAcentral describes it as "partial 16S ribosomal RNA". It matches the Rfam family "Bacterial small subunit ribosomal RNA", at positions 28 to 507 of the family's 1533-position model. The record is from RNAcentral.
GAUGAACGCUGGCGGCGUGCCUAAUACAUGCAAGUCGAGCGAACAGACGGGGAGCUUGCUCCUCUGACGUUAGCGGCGGACGGGUGAGUAACACGUGGAUAACCUACCUAUAAGACUGGGAUAACUUCAGGAAACCGGAGCUAAUACCGGAUAAUAUAUUGAACCGCAUGGUUCAAUAGUGAAAGACGGUUUUGCUGUCACUUAUAGAUGGAUCCGCGCCGCAUUAGCUAGUUGGUAAGGUAACGGCUUACCAAGGCAACGAUGCGUAGCCGACCUGAGAGGGUGAUCGGCCACACUGGAACUGAGACACGGUCCAGACUCCUACGGGAGGCAGCAGUAGGGAAUCUUCCGCAAUGGGCGAAAGCCUGACGGAGCAACGCCGCGUGAGUGAUGAAGGUCUUCGGAUCGUAAAACUCUGUUAUUAGGGAAGAACAAAUGUGUAAGUAACUAUGCACGUCUUGACGGUACCUAAUCAGAAAGCCACGGCUAACUACGUG